AGAUGGCGUGGCGCGGCAGGAGUCUGGCGCGUUCUGAGUCCUCAACCAGCGUUACCGCCAGCCGCGUUACAAGCAGCCGCCAGGUGUCUGCACCAGCCUUACGAUUAUUACAGGUUCAGAGAGGUGUUCGGUGAGUAUCGGGGCGCGGCCGCUGCGCUGGACACCAUAGCCCUCAACGCAGCCUGGGUCAUGCGAGCUGACGCCGAUCUGCUCAAAUACUUCAACUCAAUCAACCAGUGAGGUCAGAAAAUGCUUUAGAUUGAGAAAAGAAGGCCCCAUGAUUAUUAAAUUAUUAUUUAUUAAGUAAAA
Molecule: long non-coding RNA, 309 nt
Organism: Manduca sexta (tobacco hornworm)
Lineage: Eukaryota; Metazoa; Arthropoda; Insecta; Lepidoptera; Sphingidae
Exons: 3
Source: RefSeq, a predicted model, not a curated record